UACGUAGGGACCAAGCGUUGUUCGGAUUUACUGGGCGUAAAGGGCGCGUAGGCGGCUUGACAAGUCACUUGUGAAAUCUCCGGGCUUAACUCGGAACGGCCAAGUGAAACUGUCAUGCUAGAGUGCAGAAGGGGCAAUCGGAAUUCUUGGUGUAGCGGUGAAAUGCGUAGAUAUCAAGAGGAACACCUGAGGUGAAGACGGGUUGCUGGGCUGACACUGACGCUGAGGCGCGAAAGCUAGGGUAGCAAACGGG
Molecule: ribosomal RNA, 253 nt
Filed under: uncultured bacterium
Lineage: Bacteria
Description: partial 16S ribosomal RNA
Rfam family: Bacterial small subunit ribosomal RNA
Source: RNAcentral